UUAAGUUCAGCGGGUGGUCCUACCUGAUUUGAGGUCAAGUCAAAUGAAAUCCAAUCCAAUCCAAUCCAAUCUGGCAAACGUAAACGACCCUCGGAUGCAGAUAGAGUUAUCACACCCAACAAAGAGGCCUUUUAUUUCGCUCAUGUAUUUCAGGGGAGCAGACUGACCGACUGAGUCCGAGCCUGCAUCAUCCCCCAAGU
RNAcentral lists this unclassified non-coding RNA (200 nucleotides) under Inocybe sp. Its description in RNAcentral is "partial internal transcribed spacer 2". Lineage: Eukaryota; Fungi; Basidiomycota; Agaricomycetes; Agaricales; Inocybaceae. The record is from RNAcentral.